RNAcentral lists this ribosomal RNA (253 nucleotides) under uncultured bacterium. RNAcentral describes it as "partial 16S ribosomal RNA". It matches the Rfam family "Bacterial small subunit ribosomal RNA", at positions 524 to 776 of the family's 1533-position model. The record is from RNAcentral.
UACAGAGGUCUCAAGCGUUGUUCGGAUUCAUUGGGCGUAAAGGGUGUGUAGGUGGCGCCGUAAGUCGGGUGUGAAAUCUCGGGGCUUAACUCCGAAACUGCAUUCGAUACUGCGGUGCUUGAGGACUGGAGAGGAGACUGGAAUUCAUGGUGUAGCAGUGAAAUGCGUAGAGAUCAUGAGGAAGACCAGUGGCGAAGGCGGGUCUCUGGACAGUUCCUGACACUGAGACACGAAGGCCAGGGGAGCGAACGGG